RNAcentral lists this long non-coding RNA (390 nucleotides) under Medicago truncatula (barrel medic). RNAcentral's name for it is "long non-coding RNA (MTRU_LNC008653)". Lineage: Eukaryota; Viridiplantae; Streptophyta; Magnoliopsida; Fabales; Fabaceae. The record is from RNAcentral.
CACAACAUCGGCAUCUAAAUUGCCUGAUUCAUGAUAUGUACUAACAUCAAUAUAAGAUUCCUUCCCGGUCUGAGUAACUUCUUCCUUGGAGACUUCAUAGGCAGAACAUACAACAGCAUUGCAAGAAAGAGACGGAUGAGCCCCAUCAUCAAUAUAAGAUGGCUUCCCAGUCUGAGUAACUUCUUCCUUGGACACUUCAUAGGCAGAACAUACAACAGCAUUGCAAGAAAGAGACGGAUGAGCCCCAUCAUCAAUAUAAGAUGGCUUCCCAGUCUGAGCAACUUCUUCCUUGGACACUUCAUAGGCAGAACAUACAACAGCAUUGCAAGAAAGGGACGGAUGCGCACUAUUUUCAAGGCCUGGCGUCUCCAUGCUACAACUGGUUUUUUC